AGAGUUUGAUCCUGGCUCAGGACGAACGCUGGCGGCGUGCUUAACACAUGCAAGUCGAACGGGGUUAAUGUUUUCGGAUAUUAACUUAGUGGCGAACGGGUGAGUAACGCGUGAGGAACCUGCCUUUCAGUGGGGGACAACAGUUGGAAACGACUGCUAAUACCGCAUGAUACUAUUGAGGGACAUCCCUUGAUAGUCAAAGCUUUAUGUGCUGAAAGAUGGCCUCGCGUCUGAUUAGCUAGUUGGAGGGGUAACGGCCCACCAAGGCGACGAUCAGUAGCCGGACUGAGAGGUUGACCGGCCACAUUGGGACUGAGAUACGGCCCAGACUCCUACGGGAGGCAGCAGUGGGGAAUAUUGGGCAAUGGGCGCAAGCCUGACCCAGCAACGCCGCGUGAAGGAAGAAGGCUUUCGGGUUGUAAACUUCUUUUAGCAGGGACGAAGAACGUGACGGUACCUGCAGAAAAAGCAACGGCUAACUACGUGCCAGCAGCCGCGGUAAUACGUAGGUUGCAAGCGUUGUCCGGAAUUACUGGGUGUAAAGGGCGUGUAGGCGGAGAUGCAAGUUGGGAGUGAAAUCCAUGGGCUCAACCCAUGAACUGCUUUCAAAACUGCAUCCCUUGAGUAUCGGAGAGGCAAGCGGAAUUCCUAGUGUAGCGGUGAAAUGCGUAGAUAUUAGGAGGAACACCAGUGGCGAAGGCGGCUUGCUGGACGACAACUGACGCUGAGGCGCGAAAGCGUGGGGAGCAAACAGGAUUAGAUACCCUGGUAGUCCACGCUGUAAACGAUGAAUACUAGGUGUGGGAGGACUGACCCCUUCCGUGCCGCAGUUAACACAAUAAGUAUUCCACCUGGGGAGUACGACCGCAAGGUUGAAACUCAAAGGAAUUGACGGGGGCCCGCACAAGCAGUGGAUUAUGUGGUUUAAUUCGAAGCAACGCGAAGAACCUUACCUGGUCUUGACAUCUGGAUGACCGGUCCUUAACCGGACCUUCUCUUCGGAGCAUCCAAGACAGGUGGUGCAUGGUUGUCGUCAGCUCGUGUCGUGAGAUGUUGGGUUAAGUCCCGCAACGAGCGCAACCCUUAUCUUUAGUAGCCAGCGGUUUGGCCGGGCACUCUAGAGAGACUGCCAGGGAUAACCUGGAGGAAGGUGGGGAUGACGUCAAAUCAUCAUGCCCCUUAUGAUCAGGGCUACACACGUGCUACAAUGGCGUAAACAAAGGGAAGCAGAGCCGCGAGGCCGAGCAAAUCUCAAAAAUAACGUCUCAGUUCGGAUUGUAGUCUGCAACUCGACUACAUGAAGCUGGAAUCACUAGUAAUCGCGAAUCAGAAUGUCGCGGUGAAUACGUUCCCGGGUCUUGUACUCACCGCCCGUCA
Molecule: ribosomal RNA, 1377 nt
Filed under: uncultured bacterium
Lineage: Bacteria
Description: 16S ribosomal RNA
Rfam family: Bacterial small subunit ribosomal RNA
Source: RNAcentral